GCUGUGCGCGCGCCCGGCCGUCCUUCCUGUCGCACUUCAGGUGGACAAGCGUGGGCUUGUCGAGUGCAACCGCAGAGGCACCGGCGGCCACCACGUCACCCCUCCCUUCGCAGGGUCCUCUUCCUGUUCUCUGACUCUGCUUCGGAGAGUGCUUCCUUAGCUUCGGGAAGAGGCUGUAAUCUAACUCAUCGUCUGUUUGCUCUGAAAACCAGCGUGGACGUGCAGAGGCCGACUGGAUCACCGUCAGUAACCGUGCUGCCAGUCCGAGAAGCCAGCCCGGCCUCUGAAGCGUACGACCUUGAGCUGCUCAAGGACAAGCACAGACCAAGGGAUGCUCUCUGGACGAAGAUGCUCCAAGAGAAAAUGAAUACGCAGCAGAGGCAGAGGAAGACCCCCAGCCUUGGCUCUCAGCGGGACCUGGAGAGCCAGCGGAGAGAGGGCCUUCUUUCUCGGCUUACGGAAUGGAAGGAACAGCGUGAACAGCGAGAAACUGCAGCCCGGCGACCCCGAGGCCCGGAGCAGGUGGGCUGGGGGUGUGUGUGUCCCUCAGUCCCUGCUGGACCGCCCUCCCCCGUCCCUGCACCUUCCCCCCCAACCCCCACCCCUCCUCCUCCCACCCUGGGCGUCUUGUGGAUUCCACCCGUUCAGCCUGAGAGAAGGCCC
RNAcentral lists this long non-coding RNA (663 nucleotides) under Bos grunniens (domestic yak). Its description in RNAcentral is "lncRNA (ENSBGRG00000013874.1)". Lineage: Eukaryota; Metazoa; Chordata; Mammalia; Artiodactyla; Bovidae. The record is from RNAcentral.